RNAcentral lists this ribosomal RNA (430 nucleotides) under Pseudomonadota bacterium. Its description in RNAcentral is "Proteobacteria bacterium partial 16S ribosomal RNA". It matches the Rfam family "Bacterial small subunit ribosomal RNA", at positions 355 to 776 of the family's 1533-position model. The record is from RNAcentral. Lineage: Bacteria; Pseudomonadati; Pseudomonadota.
UGGGGAAUAUUGGACAAUGGGCGAAAGCCUGAUCCAGCCAUGCCGCGUGUGUGAAGAAGGUCUUCGGAUUGUAAAGCACUUUAAGCGAGGAGGAGGGUACUGGUAUUAAUACUACCAGCUACUGGACGUUACUCGCAGAAUAAGCACCGGCUAACUCUGUGCCAGCAGCCGCGGUAAUACAGAGGGUGCGAGCGUUAAUCGGAUUUACUGGGCGUAAAGCGUGCGUAGGCGGCUAAUUGAGUCGGAUGUGAAAUCCCCGAGCUUAACUUGGGAAUUGCAUUCGAUACUGGUUAGCUAGAGUGUGGGAGAGGAUGGUAGGAUUCCAGGUGUAGCGGUGAAAUGCGUAGAGAUCUGGAGGAAUACCGAUGGCGAAGGCAGCCAUCUGGCCUAACACUGACGCUGAGGUACGAAAGCAUGGGGAGCAAACAGG